CUCGUAGGUGGCCAACUAAGUCAUACGUGAAAUCCCUCGGCUUAACCGGGGAACUGCGUCUGAUACUGGAUGGCUUGAGGUUGGGAGAGGGAUGCGGAAUUCCAGGUGUAGCGGUGAAAUGCGUGGAUAUCUGGAGGAACACCGGUGGCGAAGGCGGCAUCCUGGACCAAUUCUGACACUGAGGAGCGAAAGCCGAGGGGAGACGAAACG
RNAcentral lists this ribosomal RNA (210 nucleotides) under uncultured bacterium. RNAcentral describes it as "partial 16S ribosomal RNA". It matches the Rfam family "Bacterial small subunit ribosomal RNA", at positions 568 to 775 of the family's 1533-position model. The record is from RNAcentral.